This 397-nucleotide ribosomal RNA is filed under the name uncultured bacterium. RNAcentral's name for it is "bacterial SSU rRNA". It matches the Rfam family "Bacterial small subunit ribosomal RNA", at positions 30 to 433 of the family's 1533-position model. The record is from RNAcentral.
AUCGAACGCUGGCGGCAUGCUUUACACAUGCAAGUCGAACGGGCUUGGGGGCUUGCUCCCAAGUUAGUGGCGAACGGGUGAGUAAUACAUCGGAACGUACCGUGUAGUGGGGGAUAACGUAGCGAAAGUUACGCUAAUACCGCAUACGAUCUACGGAUGAAAGCAGGGGGACCUUCGGGCCUUGUGCUAUACGAGCGGCCGAUGUCUGAUUAGCUAGUUGGUGAGGUAAAGGCUCACCAAGGCGACGAUCAGUAGCGGGUCUGAGAGGAUGAUCCGCCACACUGGGACUGAGACACGGCCCAGACUCCUACGGGAGGCAGCAGUGGGAAUUUGGACAAAUGGGCGAAAGCCUGAUCCAGCCAUGCCGCGUGUCUGAGAAGGCCUCGGUUGUAAGGAC